UACGAAGGGGGCUAGCGUUGUUCGGAAUCACUGGGCGUAAAGGGCGCGUAGGCGGCUUUGUAAGUCGGGGGUGAAAGCCUGUGGCUCAACCACAGAAUUGCCUUCGAUACUGCGAGGCUUGAGACCGGAAGAGGUUAGUGGAACUGCGAGUGUAGAGGUGAAAUUCGUAGAUAUUCGCAAGAACACCAGUGGCGAAGGCGGCUGACUGGUCCGGAUCUGACGCUGAGGCGCGAAAGCGUGGGGAGCAAACAGGG
This 254-nucleotide ribosomal RNA is filed under the name uncultured bacterium. RNAcentral's name for it is "partial 16S ribosomal RNA". It matches the Rfam family "Bacterial small subunit ribosomal RNA", at positions 524 to 777 of the family's 1533-position model. The record is from RNAcentral.